This 478-nucleotide ribosomal RNA is filed under the name uncultured bacterium. Its description in RNAcentral is "SSU rRNA". It matches the Rfam family "Bacterial small subunit ribosomal RNA", at positions 26 to 518 of the family's 1533-position model. The record is from RNAcentral.
AGGACGAACGCUGGCGGCGUGCUUAACACAUGCAAGUCGAGCGAGGCCCUUCCUUCGGGGAGGUGCCCUAGCGGCGAACGGGUGAGUAACACGUGGGCAACCUGCCCCUAGCACUGGGAUAACUCCGGGAAACCGGGGCUAAUACCGGAUAUGACCUUCUUGGGCAUCCUCGAAGGUGUAAAGGAUUCUGGCUAGGGAUGGGCCCGCGGCCUAUCAGCUUGUUGGUGGGGUAAUGGCCUACCAAGGCGACGACGGGUAGCCGGCCUGAGAGGGUGACCGGCCACGACUGGGACUGAGACACGGCCCAGACUCCUACGGGAGGCAGCAGUGGGAAUCUUGCACAAUGGGCGAAAGCCUGAUGCAGCGACGCCGCGUGAGGGAUGGACUGCCUUCGGGUUGUAAACCUCUUUCAGCAGGGACGAAGCGAAAGUGACGGUACCUGCAGAAGAAGCACCGGCCAACUCGUGCCAGCAGCCGC